CAAUAGCGUAUAUUAAAGUUGUUGCAGUUAAAAAGCUCGUAGUUGGAUUUCGGGGCAGCCUGGCUGGUCCGCCGCAAGGCGAGUACUGGUCAGCCGCCCUUCCUCUCGAAAGCCCCGACUGCUCUUUACUGUAGUGGUCGGGUAGUUCGGGACGUUUACUUUGAAAAAAUUAGAGUGUUCAAGGCAGGCCUACGCCUGAAUACAUUAGCAUGGAAUAAUGGAAGAGGACCUCGGUCCUAUUUUGUUGGUUUCCAGGGCCGAAGUAAUGAUUAAGAGGGACAGUUGGGGGCAUUCGUAUUUAAUUGUCAGAGGUGAAAUUCUCGGAUUUAUGAAAGACGAACAACUGCGAAAGCAUUUGCCAAGGAUGUUUUCAUCAA
Molecule: ribosomal RNA, 377 nt
Filed under: uncultured eukaryote
Lineage: Eukaryota
Description: partial 18S ribosomal RNA
Rfam family: Eukaryotic small subunit ribosomal RNA
Source: RNAcentral